GCAGUGGUGGUUCUGAGGUAGAAUUCUCGCCUUCCAUGUGGGACACCCCAGUUCGAUUCCUGACCAAUGCA
RNAcentral lists this transfer RNA (71 nucleotides) under Loxodonta africana (African savanna elephant). It matches the Rfam family "tRNA". From Rfam's summary of the family: Transfer RNA (tRNA) molecules are approximately 80 nucleotides in length. Their secondary structure includes four short double-helical elements and three loops (D, anti-codon, and T loops). The record is from Rfam by way of RNAcentral. Lineage: Eukaryota; Metazoa; Chordata; Mammalia; Proboscidea; Elephantidae.